RNAcentral lists this ribosomal RNA (468 nucleotides) under uncultured bacterium. Its description in RNAcentral is "partial 16S ribosomal RNA". It matches the Rfam family "Bacterial small subunit ribosomal RNA", at positions 28 to 507 of the family's 1533-position model. The record is from RNAcentral.
GACGAACGCUGGCGGCGGGCUUAACACAUGCGAGUCGAACGGAAAGGCCCUGCUUGUGUGGGGUGCUCGAGUGGCGAACGGGUGAGUAACACGUGAGUAACCUGCCCUUGACUUUGGGAUAACUGCAGGAAACUGGGGCUAAUACCGGAUAGGAGCUCCUGCUGCAUGGGGAGGGUUGGAAAGUUUCGGUGGUUGGGGAUGGACUCGCGGCUUAUUAGCUUGUUGGUGGGGUAGUGGCUUACCAAGGCUUUGACGGGUAGCCGGCCUGAGAGCGUGACCGGCCACAUGGGGACUGCGAUACGGCCCAGACUCCUACGGUAGGCAGCAGUGGGGAAUCUUGCCCAGUGGGCGGACGCGUGAUGCAACAGCGUCCCGUUCGGGAUGCCGGCCUUCGGGUUGUAAACCGCUUUCGCCUGUGACGAAGCGUGAGUGACGGUAAUGGGUAAAGAAGCACCGGCUAACUACGUG